RNAcentral lists this ribosomal RNA (497 nucleotides) under uncultured bacterium. RNAcentral's name for it is "partial 16S ribosomal RNA". It matches the Rfam family "Bacterial small subunit ribosomal RNA", at positions 28 to 507 of the family's 1533-position model. The record is from RNAcentral.
GACGAACGCUGGCGGCGUGCCUAAUACAUGCAAGUCGAGCGAACGGACGAUAAGCUUGCUUGUCUGAUGUUAGCGGCGGACGGGUGAGUAACACGUGGAUAACCUACCUAUAAGAGUGGGAUAACUUCGGGAAACGGGAUCUAAUACCGGAUAAGAUUUUGAAGCGCAUGGUUCAAAAGUGAGAGACGGUGUUUCUGGCUCUUAUAGAGGGAUCUCCGCUUCAUUAGCUAGUUGUUAAGGUAACGGGCUAUCAAGGCAACGAGGCAUAGCCGAACUGAGAGGGUGGUAGGCCACACGAGAACUGGGCCACGGUCCAGGCUACUGCGGGAGGGACCAGUAGCGAAUCUUACGCAGUGGGCGAGAACAUGACGGAGCAAGCCCGAGUGAGAUGUGAAGAUCUUCGGAUCGUAAAACUCUCUUAUUAGGGAAGAACCUAUGUGUAAGUAAAUGUGCACAUAUUGACGGUACCUGAUCAGAAAGCACCGGCUAACUACGUG